ACACUGCUGACGAGUCCCAAACAGGACGAAACAGUUGUUCAGUGC
Molecule: non-coding RNA, 45 nt
Filed under: Echinostoma caproni
Lineage: Eukaryota; Metazoa; Platyhelminthes; Trematoda; Plagiorchiida; Echinostomatidae
Source: RNAcentral